Chloebia gouldiae (Gouldian finch) is the source of this 1566-nucleotide long non-coding RNA. The record is from Ensembl. Lineage: Eukaryota; Metazoa; Chordata; Aves; Passeriformes; Passeridae.
CCCAAACCAGCUACAGCCAUGGGAUAGAAGCGGGCAAGGGAGGAGGAGCGGUGGGGUGGCUGGGGCAGCCCAGAGGUGAAGCCCAGCGGCUGGAGAAGCGCCGGGCACCGGCAAGGGGUUGGAGCCGGGAGUCGCCCACAACAGGAGUGAAAAACCCGCCUACCCCGUCUCGCCAGGCCCGGCAUUUACAAGUUUUUUCCUCAGGAGGUUUGCGGUUUCCAGCCUUUCCCACCCAGCUCCUCCGCGCAGCACCCGGGACCCUUCUGAGACCCCCCCGCCCCAGCCCCGCAGGCGGGAGGAGCUGGUGGGGUCGUGCCCGGGGCAUCCCCGGGGCUGUUUUUUCCGAUGCUUGCGGCUGGAUUGCACUUUCCCCUCGGCUGUUUGAUUUUUUUUUUCCUUGUGUGCUUUUUUUUUGUUUAAUUCUGCUCCCCGCGCUGCGCGGCUCCCCCCGCAGUGCUGCCCGCCCCGCCAAUCCGGGCCCUGCGGGCUGGGGGGCUCCGGCAGCGGCUUUAAAAGCGGAGCCCUUUGUGCGCCGGAGCCCGCCGGAGCCCCGCACCGGCAGCUGCCGGGGCCGGACCGGGAUGUGCCGUGCCGUGCCGUGCCGUGCCGUGCCGCCGCCGGGAGGAGCCCUGGACCUCGCUGCACCGGUAGCCCCGGGACCCGCGCAUCCCCCUCGGCAGCCAGCGCUGCUGAGGCGGGACCUGCCUGCAUCCCUCCAGCCCCCAGCUCAGCCCUGCCCCACCUCUGCAUUUUGGCGAAAGCUCUGCUGCAGUCCCAAAGCCGUGCCGUGUCCUUGGAAGCAGAAAGAUUUCCUCCUGGGAGGGACACGGGGAGUGACAGCUCUGAGUGACAGCCACCACUAAGCACAGCAGUGUGGCCAGCUUGGCAGCAUGCCUCCUUCCUGCAGACCAAACCACAGUGCCUGCUGGAAGUUCCCUGACAGCCAGAUUUCCUGUGACACAAGUGAAGUACCGGGGGUAAAUGCCUUUUGCCAGGAAGAUGGGAAUCCCAGCAGGAUGGGAUGUGAACAGCCCCCAUACUGUUACCGGCAGCAGAAAUGCCCUGUAAUGAUCCUGAAAGCACCUUUGGGUGACAGAGGCCAGACGCCUGUGACACAGACUGGCAAAACUGUUGCUCCAGUGGGACACAGUAACUGUUUUUGCUCCUCCAGUAUGGUGCAAAGGCUGAUUCCCUCUGCCCUUUUCUGGGCCGUGGCUCCUGCUGCUGCCAUUUGUCCCUGUGCCCUCCUUCCCAGCUGCCUUCCCGUGCUGCAGGGAGGCAGAGCACAGCUGAAAAUACACCUACUGCAUCCCGCCUUCCUGCCUGUUUGCUUCCUCCCCUCCUGGCUUUGCCUUUCAGUGCAGCUUCCCAAGAAAAUAAAGGUCAUACCCUCACACUUUGCCUACACACACAAACACACAAACACGCUCACUCAUUCACACACAUACACAAACACAUAAACACUCACAUAAACACACACACAUACACACAUAAACACACACUCUCUCUCUCUCACACACGUUUGUGUGGCUGGCGUCCUUCUAAUAAACUUUGACCACAUUUCCA